This 434-nucleotide ribosomal RNA is filed under the name uncultured Lachnospiraceae bacterium. RNAcentral describes it as "bacterial SSU rRNA". It matches the Rfam family "Bacterial small subunit ribosomal RNA", at positions 341 to 792 of the family's 1533-position model. Lineage: Bacteria; Bacillati; Bacillota; Clostridia; Lachnospirales; Lachnospiraceae. The record is from RNAcentral.
ACGGAAGGCAGCAGUGGGGAAUAUUGCACAAUGGGGGAAACCCUGAUGCAGCGACGCCGCGUGAGUGAUGAAGUAUUUCGGUAUGUAAAACUCUAUCAGCAGGGAAGAAGAUGACGGUACCUGACUAAGAAGCACCGGCUAAAUACGUGCCAGCAGCCGCGGUAAUACGUAUGGUGCAAGCGUUAUCCGGAUUUACUGGGUGUAAAGGGAGCGCAGGCGGCCAUGCAAGCCAGAGGUGAAAACCCGGGGCUCAACCCCGUGAUUGCCUUUGGAACUGUUUGGCUUGAGUACUGGAGGGGCAGGCGGAAUUCCUGGUGUAGCGGUGAAAUGCGUAGAUAUUAGGAAGAACACCAGUGGCGAAGGCGGUUAGCUGGACAGUAACUGACGCUGAGGCGCGAAAGCGUGGGUAGCAAACAGGAUUAGAUACCCGGGUA